RNAcentral lists this ribosomal RNA (467 nucleotides) under Aconurella sibirica. RNAcentral's name for it is "partial large subunit ribosomal RNA". The record is from RNAcentral. Lineage: Eukaryota; Metazoa; Arthropoda; Insecta; Hemiptera; Cicadellidae.
AAGGUAUUUCCUGCCCUAUGGUUUUAUCUAAAUGGCUGCAGUAUUUUGACUGUGCAAAGGUAGCAUAGUAAUUAGUUUCUUAAUUAGGAACUUGUAUGAAUGGAUGAAUGAGAUAUAGUUUUUAUUUAUUUAAAAGUUAAAAUUUUAAUUUUAAGUAAAAAUGCUUAAGAUUUUUCUUGGGACGAUAAGACCCUAUAGAACUUAAUAUUUACUUAAUAAAUUGUUUUUAAUUCUUUUAUAUGAUUUUUUAUUUAAAUGUUUUGCUGGGGUGGUUAAUAAAUUUUAACUUUAUUUUUUUAUUUCAUUGUUAGUUGUUUUUAUUGAUCCUAAUGGAUUAAAAGAAUAAGUUACCUUAGGGAUAACAGCGUAAUUUUAGUGGGGAGUUCAUAUCUAUACUGAUUUUGCGACCUCGAUGUUGAAUUAAGAAAAAACUAAGAAGCAGAAUUCUUAGAUUUAAGUCUGUUCGA